RNAcentral lists this ribosomal RNA (574 nucleotides) under uncultured bacterium. Its description in RNAcentral is "bacterial SSU rRNA". It matches the Rfam family "Bacterial small subunit ribosomal RNA", at positions 333 to 917 of the family's 1533-position model. The record is from RNAcentral.
CGAUUCCUACGGGAGGCAGCAGUGGGGAAUUUUGGACAAUGGGCGCAAGCCUGAUCCAGCCAUGCCGCGUGAGUGAAGAAGGCCUUCGGGUUGUAAACCUCUUUCAGCAGGGAAGAAGCGAAAGUGACGGUACCUGUAGAAGAAGGACCGGCUAACUACGUGCCAGCAGCCGCGGUAAUACGUAGGGUCCAAGCGUUGUCCGGAAUUAUUGGGCGUAAAGAGCUCGUAGGCGGCGUGUCGCGUCGGAUGUGAAAGCCCGGGGCUUAACUCCGGGUCUGCAUUCGGUACGGGCAUGCUGGAGUUCGGUAGGGGAGACUGGAAUUCCUGGUGUAGCGGUGAAAUGCGCAGAUAUCAGGAGGAACACCGGUGGCGAAGGCGGGUCUCUGGGCCGAUACUGACGCUGAGGAGCGAAAGCGUGGGGAGCGAACAGGAUUAGAUACCCUGGUAGUCCACGCUGUAAACGUUGGGAACUAGGUGUGGGGUGCAUUCCACGUGCUCUGCGCCGCAGCUAACGCAUUAAGUUCCCCGCCUGGGGAGUACGGCCGCAAGGCUAAAACUCAAAGGAAUUGACGGA